CAUAGAGGACGGAGUCGGUGAGGCUCUCCGCGAAAUAGUGGCCCUGGUGGUUUUGGCCUGGGCUGAAGCCCCGGUUGACUACCUCGAGGCGAAGUUUCUCCAACUCGACAGGGUCGACCGAUCGGGUCACCACCAGGUAGUCGCGCAGCGCGAUGCCGUGCCGAUUCUCCUCGGCGGUCCAACGGUUGACCCACU
RNAcentral lists this small RNA (195 nucleotides) under Mycobacterium tuberculosis H37Rv. RNAcentral's name for it is "Putative small regulatory RNA". The stretch from base 102 to 169 matches the Rfam family "ASdes TB sRNA". The record is from RNAcentral. Lineage: Bacteria; Bacillati; Actinomycetota; Actinomycetes; Mycobacteriales; Mycobacteriaceae. RNAcentral also lists the same sequence under 3 other names.